RNAcentral lists this ribosomal RNA (970 nucleotides) under Salmonella enterica subsp. enterica serovar Typhi. RNAcentral describes it as "bacterial SSU rRNA". It matches the Rfam family "Bacterial small subunit ribosomal RNA", at positions 96 to 1048 of the family's 1533-position model. Lineage: Bacteria; Pseudomonadati; Pseudomonadota; Gammaproteobacteria; Enterobacterales; Enterobacteriaceae. The record is from RNAcentral.
UGGCGGACGGGUGAGUAAUGUCUGGGAAACUGCCUGAUGGAGGGGGAUAACUACUGGAAACGGUGGCUAAUACCGCAAAACGUCGCAAGACCAAAGAGGGGGACCUUCGGGCCUCUUGCCAUCAGAUGUGCCCAGAUGGGAUUAGCUUGUUGGUGAGGUAACGGCUCACCAAGGCGACGAUCCCUAGCUGGUCUGAGAGGAUGACCAGCCACACUGGAACUGAGACACGGUCCAGACUCCUACGGGAGGCAGCAGUGGGGAAUAUUGCACAAUGGGCGCAAGCCUGAUGCAGCCAUGCCGCGUGUAUGAAGAAGGCCUUCGGGUUGUAAAGUACUUUCAGCGGGGAGGAAGGUGUUGUGGUUAAUAACCGCAGCAAUUGACGUUACCCGCAGAAGAAGCACCGGCUAACUCCGUUCCAGCAGCCGCGGUAAUACGGAGGGUGCAAGCGUUAAUCGGAAUUACUGGGCGUAAAGCGCACGCAGGCGGUCUGUCAAGUCGGAUGUGAAAUCCCCGGGCUCAACCUGGGAACUGCAUUCGAAACUGGCAGGCUUGAGUCUUGUAGAGGGGGGUAGAAUUCCAGGUGUAGCGGUGAAAUGCGUAGAGAUCUGGAGGAAUACCGGUGGCGAAGGCGGCCCCCUGGACAAAGACUGACGCUCAGGUGCGAAAGCGUCGGGAGCAAACAGGAUUAGAUACCCUGGUAGUCCACGCCGUAAACGAUGUCUACUUGGAGGUUGUGCCCUUGAGGCGUGGCUUCCGGAGCUAACGCGUUAAGUAGACCGCCUGGGGAGUACGGCCGCAAGGUUAAAACUCAAAUGAAUUGACGGGGGCCCGCACAAGCGGGUGGGAGCAUGUGGUUUAAUUUCGAUGCAACGGCGGAAGAACCCUUACCUGGGUCUUGGACAUCCACAGAACUUUUCCAGAGAUGGAUUGGGUGCCUUUCGGGAACUGGUGAGAACAGGUGCUGCCAUGG